Molecule: non-coding RNA, 1834 nt
Organism: Lactuca sativa (garden lettuce)
Lineage: Eukaryota; Viridiplantae; Streptophyta; Magnoliopsida; Asterales; Asteraceae
Source: RefSeq, a predicted model, not a curated record
ACCGUUUGAAAAGUAAUUUCUUCAUAUUCACGCUUCCGUUCACCUCCUCCAACGCUUCCCUACUUUCUCAAUACACUACUACCUCCAUCACCCCUCUCUACCCAGCAACCCGAUAUACCAACGUUUGCCCAUUCCGCCACCGCUCCUCUGUAAUUGAUCAAUUGAUGGGUUUCUUUGCAGAUAAGAAGCAUAACUGUUGAUUCAUAUUGAUGCCCUAACUCCAUAUCAUCGGUUUUGUAUGAACUGUUUGCUCCCCACAUUCUAAUUUAGGUUUCGAUAACUGAUAAUCCAUCUGGUUCUAUCAUUGGAUUAACAAGCAACUUUGAAGGAUAUUAUCUGAUUCACUUUCAUUCAGGGCAAUAACGGAGGUAAAUGGGAGAAGCUGACGGCAUACAACCUUUGCAACUACGUAGCAGGUGAUUAAUCUCAUCUUUCAGACUCCCUCUUCUGGCUUUCCGGAUAGACCACCACCUCUCCACCGAUUCCAUCAAAUCAUCAAUGGUUGUGGUACCCCCCCCCCCCCCCCCCCCCCCCCCCCCCCCCCCCCCCCUUCUCUCUUCUCUAAAAUCUAAUAGCUCAUGACCACCUCAAUGCUUUUCCCCUGAUUUCAUCAAUGUUAGUUUUGACUUUUCUAUUAUUCUCUCUCUCUCUCUCUCUCCUCUCUCUCUCUCUCUCUCUCUCUCUCUUUUAUUAUUAUCGAUUCUCAACUUUUUCUCAGGUUGAUUAUUUUUAUUUCAGUUCUGUUAUAUCUGCUUUAAAGUGAUAAGUUUAUUUGUUGAUUUUUAUUUGUUGUUAUUUUGUAAGUUUAUAUGAUUGUUUUGUUAUCGUUUACAACAACAAUGCAUUCACUUACUUGAUCGGCUACUGGAUUUAUGGUCUCUGAUUGCUGAAAUGCUGGUUGACAUGAAAAUAUAGCUAAUUUUGAAGAUGUCGAAUUAACUCUCGGCUGGUUAGGGGAAUGUGGUGGGUUCAUUUAGGGCAUCAUGGAGUAAAACAUAACUGUUUUUUAUGCCUACGGCCCUGUCAACAAUCAAAACAAAGUCGGAUUAGCCCACAUCAUUAGAGAUUUCAAAUAUUGUCAAGUUCAUUUUUUUGUUGACCACCCACAAAUUUCCAACAAUUAUUGUUGAUUCUGUUCAAUGAGAAUUUCAUUUUUUGUCAUCGCUUUCUUCAGCCAAGUUUAUAUGCACUAACCCCAUAAAGAGCAGAAAAGCCUACUAGGGUGGUCAUGGAUGAUUCCAAGAUUAACCAACUAGGUCUUCAUUGGGAGCUACUAAUCCGAUACUUCAAUCCUCCAUAAUCCCAUCUCUGGAUUUCUUCAAAACAUUUCUCCAAAGGGUCUUUAUUUUCGAGUUGAAUCGCUACACAAGGUUGUUGCUUUUAGAUGAGCAAUAUUUGCUUUCCUCCUCAUCAGAUGUUGAUGAUCUUCAUCUCUUUGGUGAUGAGAUAGAAGAGUAAAUGAUGACAACUGAAGAGGAGGAUAAAGCAAACGACUAUAAAGAAGAAAGAGAGUUUGUUUGUUCUUUUCUUGGUUCAAUGCAUGAGUUUUUCUUUUUAAGUAUGCAUUUGGUAGCAAACUAAUGCAAAGAGAUGCCCAAAUGGCCUUAUAAUGCAAAUCGAAUUAACAUGAAUCCAUAUAAGCUUGUUCCAUCCCAUCCCUUGUAACAAAUUGAGCCUUGAGAUCUUUAUUUAGGAACGCAUUUCGCUAGGCCAAUUACAAAUAUACUCCUUUUGUUGUAGCGUUUGUUUUGGAUAUUGUGGUUUCAUUUUUAUUUGGGUUUGACCCUUAGUUUUAGGUGAUGAACCCAUGCAAAAUUUACUUUUUUGGCUCUCA